GACGAACGCUGGCGGCGUGCUUAACACAUGCAAGUCGAACGGAAAGGCCCUGCUUUUGUGGGGUGCUCGAGUGGCGAACGGGUGAGUAACACGUGAGUAACCUGCCCUUGACUUUGGGAUAACUUCAGGAAACUGGGGCUAAUACCGGAUAGGAGCUCCUGCUGCAUGGUGGGGGUUGGAAAGUUUCGGCGGUUGGGGAUGGACUCGCGGCUUAUCAGCUUGUUGGUGGGGUAGUGGCUUACCAAGGCUUUGACGGGUAGCCGGCCUGAGAGGGUGACCGGCCACAUUGGGACUGAGAUACGGCCCAGACUCCCACGGGAGGCAGCAGUGGGGAAUAUUGCACAAUGGGCGGAAGCCUGAUGCAGCAACGCCGCGUGCGGGAUGACGGCCUUCGGGUUGUAAACCGCUUUCGCCUGUGACGAAGCGUGAGUGACGGUAAUGGGUAAAGAAGCACCGGCUAACUACGUGCCAGCAGCCGCGGUGAUACGUAGGGUGCGAGCGUUGUCCGGAUUUAUUGGGCGUAAAGGGCUCGUAGGUGGUUGAUCGCGUCGGAAGUGUAAUCUUGGGGCUCAACCCUGAGCGUGCUUUCGAUACGGGUUGACUUGAGGAAGGUAGGGGAGAAUGGAAUUCCUGGUGGAGCGGUGGAAUGCGCAGAUAUCAGGAGGAACACCAGUGGCGAAGGCGGUUCUCUGGGCCUUUCCUGACGCUGAGGAGCGAAAGCGUGGGGAGCGAACAGGCUUAGAUACCCUGGUAGUCCACGCUGUAAACGGUGGGUACUAGGUGUGGGGUCCAUUCCACGGGUUCCGUGCCGUAGCUAACGCUUUAAGUACCCCGCCUGGGGAGUACGGCCGCAAGGCUAAAACUCAAAGGAAUUGACGGGGCCCCGCACAAGCGGCGGAGCAUGCGGAUUAAUUCGAUGCAACGCGUAGAACCUUACCUGGGUUUGACAUGGAUCGGGAGUGCUCAGAGAUGGGUGUGCCUCUUUUGGGGUCGGUUCACAGGUGGUGCAUGGCUGUCGUCAGCUCGUGUCGUGAGAUGUUGGGUUAAGUCCCGCAACGAGCGCAACCCUUGUUCACUGUUGCCAGCACGUUAUGGUGGGGACUCAGUGGAGACCGCCGGGGUCAACUCGGAGGAAGGUGGGGAUGACGUCAAGUCAUCAUGCCCCUUAUGUCCAGGGCUUCACGCAUGCUACAAUGGCUGGUACAGAGAGUGGCGAGCCUGUGAGGGUGAGCGAAUCUCGGAAAGCCGGUCUCAGUUCGGAUUGGGGUCUGCAACUCGACCUCAUGAAGUCGGAGUCGCUAGUAAUCGCAGAUCAGCAACGCUGCGGUGAAUACGUUCCCGGGACU
This 1346-nucleotide ribosomal RNA is filed under the name uncultured bacterium. Its description in RNAcentral is "partial 16S ribosomal RNA". It matches the Rfam family "Bacterial small subunit ribosomal RNA", at positions 28 to 1381 of the family's 1533-position model. The record is from RNAcentral.